ACUGAGAGUCACAGCCUCAGAGGCAUUGUAAACAAGCGUUAUAUUUCUCUAUAAACGAUGGUGUCUGUACUGCCUUACCACUUCGAGCUCGAUCCAGAGAGUUCAGAAGGCCGUUACGAUAUAAACGAUCUCCGUCAAUGAAUGCGAUUGGAUUUAACUUUUUUAGGUGUCCUUAGCUCUGCCAGAAUGCUAAACGAAGACGAAAAUGUGUUGCAAAGACAUCCAAAAGGUUUUAAGGAGAAUGCAACAGGUUCCAGGGACUCUUACCUGCGUGAUUCAUCAUCCAGGUUUUGCACAAAUUGUCUAAAUCCCUACACACAGAACAUUUAUUGUACCGACUAUAAGCCUUUGAGGCGCAGGACUAGAAUAUGCUUGGAGCUUCCUGAUCAGAAUGUUGGCUUCCGACGACCCCUGCACUGAAGAUGGCAUGCAAUCACGUCCUCCUUUGAAGGUCUCUCAAACUGUGAUGCCAGGUCCAUUGGAAUCUGGGUUUCCUUCAGCUUAUCUUCAAAUACCUCAUCAAACACAAGCCUGAUCACAUCAUCCACAUUACUGUACAAAUAUUGCAGUCAAUAAAUCUUUUGUUUUGAUAAUUUAUUUCCCUGCUUCAUACAUUAAGUUUUUAAUUAUGAAUGUAUUUGAAAUAAAACAUUACUGCUUACGGUAUGUCAUUUGUGUGUUUUGGGAACAUAGCCUUGUACUUUCCCUCUCCUGCUUUUGUUACGGCUUGGUGACAUUGUAAUGGAUGGCUGCAAGGUACAACCUGUAAAAAUAUAAGCAAGCAUAAAUUUAUUGUAAAAGUAAAUACUACUUUAUUUAACACAGUUACUAAAAUACUUAAAUACCUGCA
Paramisgurnus dabryanus is the source of this 850-nucleotide non-coding RNA. NCBI's taxonomy places the organism in Eukaryota, Metazoa, Chordata, Actinopteri, Cypriniformes, Cobitidae. The record is from RefSeq and is a predicted model, not a curated record.